UAAUCAGCCACGUAUUUCAACAUAUCCGG
Molecule: non-coding RNA, 29 nt
Filed under: Mus musculus (house mouse)
Lineage: Eukaryota; Metazoa; Chordata; Mammalia; Rodentia; Muridae
Source: RNAcentral